GAUGAACGCUGGCGGCGUGCCUAAUACAUGCAAGUCGAGCGAACGGACGAGAAGCUUGCUUCUCUGAUGUUAGCGGCGGACGGGUGAGUAACACGUGGAUAACCUACCUAUAAGACUGGGAUAACUUCGGGAAACCGGAGCUAAUACCGGAUAAUAUUUUGAACCGCAUGGUUCAAAAGUGAAAGACGGUCUUGCUGUCACUUAUAGAUGGAUCCGCGCUGCAUUAGCUAGUUGGUAAGGUAACGGCUUACCAAGGCAACGAUGCAUAGCCGACCUGAGAGGGUGAUCGGCCACACUGGAACUGAGACACGGUCCAGACUCCUACGGGAGGCAGCAGUAGGGAAUCUUACGCAAUGGGCGAAAGCCUGACGGAGCAACGCCGCGUGAGUGAUGAAGGUCUUCGGAUCGUAAAACUCUGUUAUUAGGGAAGAACAUAUGUGUAAGUAACUGUGCACAUCUUGACGGUACCUAAUCAGAAAGCCCCGGCUAACUACGUG
RNAcentral lists this ribosomal RNA (497 nucleotides) under uncultured bacterium. Its description in RNAcentral is "partial 16S ribosomal RNA". It matches the Rfam family "Bacterial small subunit ribosomal RNA", at positions 28 to 507 of the family's 1533-position model. The record is from RNAcentral.